This is a long non-coding RNA of Cydia strobilella, 311 nucleotides long. RefSeq lists it as uncharacterized. NCBI's taxonomy places the organism in Eukaryota, Metazoa, Arthropoda, Insecta, Lepidoptera, Tortricidae. The record is from RefSeq and is a predicted model, not a curated record. The transcript is spliced from 3 exons.
UGGUAAGUAUCGCAGGCGGGGAUCAACAGAGGGUUACUUAUAGUCAUUUUGGUUGUUGGUUGUUAAGUUCACUAUUUAGCAGAAUGUUACUUAGGUAGGUAUUUUCGUUGGUGGCGGUCAAUCGAGUUUUUUGUUUUUUUAUAAUAAUUAUUUUUUUAUUUAUAACUUUUUAGUUGUUUUUAUUUAACGAAAAUGUUGUAGAUUAUUAUGUAAGUACCAUUUGAAAGAGGCCACAAAGAAACAGACAUACAUACAUACAUACAUACUUACUUACACUCGAAAAACAUUACCCUCCUCCUUUGGCAGUCGGG